Molecule: long non-coding RNA, 679 nt
Organism: Hemicordylus capensis (graceful crag lizard)
Lineage: Eukaryota; Metazoa; Chordata; Lepidosauria; Squamata; Cordylidae
Exons: 4
Source: RefSeq, a predicted model, not a curated record
GAUAGUUGGUGCAAAAGGUUGAUGCACUGGAACUCCAUCUCCAACAUGUGCCAAACAAAGGAUGACUGAUUGUCUGUGGGGAAGUUUCCAUGGAGCUGAAUCUGAUGUCAUGAAUAAGGGCAUUGUUUCCUCCUUUUUUUUCUUUUCCAAGUUCCCAAGCCCAUUUGCGACAUAUAUUUGGAAACAAAAAUGACUUCACCGGUUAAAUAUUGUUAGAUCCUAUAGAGUAUCAAAGUUGUGAAAUUCCAAAAGAAUCUACUUUGCCUCAGCAAUUUCUUCAUUGGAAUUUGGUGAAGAUGGAGUUAACUUCACAGUACAGUAGAAACUCUCCCCCAGCGCGUCUCAUUCAUCACCAUGAAACGGUUGAGAAGACUUCUUCAAUAAAGUCUGAAUAGCUUUACAAAGAGGGGCAAUACUGUACUGAAUAAAAACUGCUAACAUAACAAAGAUGUUCAGUACCAUUGCUAGGCACUUUGUUCUGCUUGAUUUUUAUGUGGUUACCUCAGUCCUGGACUACUGGAAUUCUGCUACACCUAUCUGGAAGCUUUCAGCUGCCAGAUCAAUCAAGCUGUCAAAACUGAAAAUCUUUCAGGCUGCUAGCUGUGCUCUAGUCUAACUAGUCUAACUGCAAGAUUGAGCAAACUAAUCUUCCAUGGCAAAUGCUCCCCCAUCAGUAGAG